Peromyscus maniculatus bairdii (prairie deer mouse) is the source of this 1066-nucleotide non-coding RNA. The record is from RefSeq and is a predicted model, not a curated record. NCBI's taxonomy places the organism in Eukaryota, Metazoa, Chordata, Mammalia, Rodentia, Cricetidae.
GUGUCACUAUGGAGGAGGGCUUUGAGGUCUCAUAGGCUCAACCUAGGCCGAGUGGGCAGUCGCUUCCUGUUGGCGGAGGAUCAAGAUGUAGAACCCUCAGCUCCUUCUCCAGUACCAUGUCUUCCUGCAAUGCCCCUGCCACGGCGAUAAUGGGCUAAGCCUCUGAACUUCCCAAAGCCCUCCUUGAGCAGGAACAGAUGGCGUGCCGGAGAAAUGUCAGCCGCUCACAGCAGAGUCAGCAGCCUGCAUCGAGUUCCUUGCUGAGGACAGGGAGAUGUAAAGAGGGGACAAAAGGGGCCAAUGCUACCCUUUCACACAGCCAUCUUCCCCGUCACAGGCAAAGCCCGCACAGCUGUGUCCAUGACAGUCUGCAGGCAGGAGACACCACGUGGCCCCAGAGACAUGCAGGCUGCUGGGAAUGGGAUUAUUAGAAGAGAUGUUGGAAAGUUCCCCAAGAAGAGACAGCCAAGCCCGGGAAGAUAAAUGCACACUAAUCACCCUGCCAAAUGUCUGUGGCCCCAGAGCCUUCAGAUCAAUGUUCAGUCUGCAGACGUGAGAUGGGGUGUGAGGAGAUGGAGUUGACUGCUGUCAAUGAUCCCAACUUGAGCCAGUGAUGGGACGCCGCUCUCACAGUCCCUCUGUACCGUAAACCUCCACACAGCGUGUUUCCUGCAAAAUAGCUUCAUGGCUCUGUCCUCCAGAACCUUAACGAUGAAAUGAGCUCUCAGUUAAUGCUGUUAAAAUUCACCUUUCAAAAGUGUGUUAUAUGCACGUGUGAAAAAAUGUCACAGUAAAAAGCGUUACUUUGUACAAUUAAUAUGUACCGAAAAAAAGAAAUCUUAGUACAUUUGAAAACUUGCCACUCAGUUCUUGACUCAAAAUUCUGCUAACUUCAAUUUGUUUUCACCGUUGUGAGGUUCACCUCGGUUUCUAGUUGAUUUUCUGAACCUUGGUGAUGUCAUCACGGUCACUCGAGGAGAAGGCCUUAGGGUGAGGGCUGUGUUUUGGUGUUCUUUCCAGCUGUUUUCGCCUGAGAGCCACCAAGACAACAGGUUUCCAGCGGGAA